UGAACCCAGUGGCUGCCAUGGUCCUCUUC
This 29-nucleotide non-coding RNA is filed under the name Mus musculus (house mouse). Lineage: Eukaryota; Metazoa; Chordata; Mammalia; Rodentia; Muridae. The record is from RNAcentral.